ACAGGAAGUGUGCCUGAAACUAAGGACUACUUUGAUAGAGUACGCCACAGGGGUUAAAAUCCCCUCAUUUCCU
RNAcentral lists this transfer RNA (73 nucleotides) under Flexiseps melanurus (Spotted skink). Its description in RNAcentral is "tRNA-Ile". It matches the Rfam family "tRNA". Rfam says of the family: Transfer RNA (tRNA) molecules are approximately 80 nucleotides in length. The record is from RNAcentral. Lineage: Eukaryota; Metazoa; Chordata; Lepidosauria; Squamata; Scincidae.